CCCUUAGAUGUUCUGGGCUGCACGCGUGCUACACUGAUAUUGCCAAUAUGUCAUUCUUAUCCGAAAUGGAUUGGGUAAUCAAGUAAUGAAAUUUCAUGCUUGGAAUCGGUAAUUGCAAUUUUAUCGUGAACGAGGAAUUCCUAGUAAGCACUAGUCAUCAGCUAAUGUUGAUUAUGUCCCUGCCCUUUGUACACACCGCCCGUCGCUACUACUGAUUGGAUGUUUAAGCGAGGUUCUCGAACUGCUAGUGACUGAUCUUCGGUGAGGUCGCAGUGUGGGAAGUGAACCUAGCUUUGGUGUCUAGAGGAAGUAAAAGUCGUAACA
RNAcentral lists this ribosomal RNA (324 nucleotides) under uncultured eukaryote. Its description in RNAcentral is "partial 18S ribosomal RNA". It matches the Rfam family "Eukaryotic small subunit ribosomal RNA", at positions 1470 to 1796 of the family's 1831-position model. The record is from RNAcentral.